Molecule: ribosomal RNA, 253 nt
Filed under: uncultured bacterium
Lineage: Bacteria
Description: partial 16S ribosomal RNA
Rfam family: Bacterial small subunit ribosomal RNA
Source: RNAcentral
AACGUAGGUGGCAAGCGUCAUCCGGAAUUACUGGGCGUAAAGGGUGUGCAGGCGGGGUUGCAAGUGGUGUAUGAAAUAUCCCAGCUUAACUGGGAGGGGUUAUGCCAGACUGCAACUCUAGAGGACGAGAGAGGGGGGUGGAAUUCCGGGUGUAGUGGUGAAAUGCGUAGAGAUCCGGAGGAACCCCAGAGGCGAAGGCGGCCCCCUGGCUCGUACCUGACGCUCAGCCACGAAAGCGUGGGGAGCAAACAGG